Molecule: ribosomal RNA, 449 nt
Filed under: uncultured bacterium
Lineage: Bacteria
Description: partial 16S ribosomal RNA
Rfam family: Bacterial small subunit ribosomal RNA
Source: RNAcentral
AGCGAACGCUGGCGGAAUGCUUAACACAUGCAAGUCGCACGCCCUGCAAGGGGAGUGGCGGACGGGUGAGUAACGCGUAGGAAUAUGUCCAGAGGUGGGGGACAAGCCUGGGAAACUGGGGCUAAUACCGCAUAUGGGCUGAGGCCCAAAGCAGUGAUGCGCCUUUGGAGUAGCAUGCGUCUGAUCAGCUUGUUGGUGGGGUAAAGGCUUACCAAGGCGACGAUCGGUAGCUGGUCUGAGAGGACGACCAGCCACACUGGGACUGAGACACGGCCCAGACUCCUACGGGAGGCAGCAGUGGGGAAUAUUGGACAAUGGGCGACAGCCUGAUCCAGCAAUUCCGCGUGGGUGAAGAAGGUCUUCGGAUUGUAAAGCUCUUUCGACGGGGACGAUAAUGACGGUACCCGUAGAAGAAGCCCCGGCUAACUUCGUGCCAGCCGCCGCGGUAA